AUGGCGGAGAUUGUGAUUCUUCUAGCCAUUAAAAAGAUUGGAACCGCCUUGGCAAAUGGAGUGGCAGACCAGGCCAGCACGUUGUUUGCGAAGAACGGGAAGCAAAUACUAGCGCUACAGGGCAGCAUGGGUCGUGUUGCGAGGGAGCUUCGAGUAAUGCAUGAUGUUCUCUGUCAAAUGGAUAUCCGAAACCGCAACAAUCAAGUAUAUGAGGGCUGGUUGGAGGAGGUACGGAAAGUAGCACAUGUGAUGGAGGACAUGGUGGAUGAGUACUUGUAUCUUGUUGGUCACGAACAUGAUACGGGAUGUUGCUUUUACCUGAAGAAAGGGUUUACGAAACCAAGAUAUCUGCUUUCUUUGAACCGGAUUGCUUUCAAGGUGAAGGAAAUAGAGAAAGACCUAACACACCUGUCUGAGACAAAAAAUCGUUGGGUUCACAUGAUAAACAAUGGGGAUACUAGCAGCUCAAGUUACAUUGUCAAGAGGUCCAAAGAUCUAGCAAACAUUUCACGCUCCCUUGAUGAAGAGGAUCUAGUCGGUGUGGACAAAAACAGAGAUAAACUUGAGCAGUGGUUAUUGAGUGACGAUUUGGAACGCUCUGUGAUAGCACUGCUUGGAAUGGGAGGGCUUGGUAAAACAUCUUUAGCUGCAAAUGUCUACAGGAAGCAUAGAGAGAAAUUCCAGUGCCAUGCUUGGGUCUCCAUCUCUCAAACUUAUUCUACAGAACAUGUCUUGAGGAAUAUAAUCAAGGAACUUUCCCGAGAUAAAGUCAGUGUGCUAUCUAACACUGCGGCCAUGGACAUCACAUGCCUUGAAGAAACGCUGAGGAAAUUUCUAGAGCAACAGAAAUAUUUGAUCAUAUUGGAUGAUGUUUGGACUCCAGAAGCAUUUGAUGACUUGUCUAGGGUGCUUAUUAAUAAUAAAAAGGGCAGCAGACUGAUGAUCACAACAAGGGAAGGCGAUGUUGCUGCACUUGCCUCUCAAGGACAUACUUUAACACUGAAACCUUUACCAGAAGAUAAGGCAUGGGAUCUCUUUUGUAGAAAAGCCUUUCCAAGAGAUACAAAUCAUGAAUGUCCUGCGGAGUUGUAUCCUUUGUCCGAGCAAAUAGUUAGCAAGUGCAAAGGCUUGCCUCUUGUUAUUGUGUUAGUUGGUAGCCUCUUGCGUGUGCGUGAGAAAACUGUGGAAGAAUGGAGAAGAAUACAUGCCCAAUUAAGUUGGGAGCUAAUCAACAAUUCAAGACUCGAUCACAUAAGGAAUGUUUUGCAUCUGAGCUUCAUCUACCUUCCAACACACUUAAAAUGCUGUUUCUUGCAUUGCAGCUUAUUUUCAGAAGACUAUUGUUUCAAAAGGAAACAACUUAUACGGUUAUGGACAGCAGAGGGGUUCAUUGAAGAGAGGGGUGAAAGCACAUUAGAAGAAGUGGCAGAAGGCUAUCUGAAGGAGUUAAUUGACAGAAACAUGCUAGGACUUGUCAAGAGAAACUCAUUUGGUAGGAUGAAAGAAUUCAAAAUGCACGAUAUCUUACGUGAACUGGCACUUGACUUGUGCCAGAAGAACUGUUUUGGUGUUACAUAUGAGGAUAAGCAUGGGAGGUCUUUUGAGAGGAAUGGACGUCGAUUGGUAUUGCACAAACAAAAGAAGGAUAUUCAGCAGUCAUUUUCUAGUGUGCGCCGACUUCGAACAUUCGUUAUGCUGGACGAUAGUAUGGUAACAUUUACUCUACUGCCUCUGCUAUGUAAGGAGUCAAGAUAUAUGACAGUGCUAGAAUUAAGUGGUCUACCCAUUGAGAAUAUUCCAGAUGCUAUUGGAGAUCUUUUUAAUCUCCGCCAUUUGGGUUUGCGUGAUUCAAAAGUGAAGAUGCUCCCGAGUUCUGUUGAGAAGCUUUCAAAUUUGUUGACACUGGACCUUCUUAGAUCUGAUGUACAUGAGCUGCCUAGUGGGAUUGUGAAACUGAAGAAGCUUAGGCACUUAUUUGUUGAGAAAAGAAUUAAUACAGAUUUGAGAGGGAUUAAAUGUUUCGGUGGUGUGCAUGUCCCUAAUGGUCUUGGAAAUCUAACAAACCUGCAAACGCUACAAGCAUUGGUAGCACAUCAUGAGUCUAUUAGACAUUUACGGCAGCUGAGGCAACUGAGAAGCUUGAGGUUAUUGGAUGUGAAGGGAAGCUAUUGUGGACGUAUCAGCGAGUCUCUAGUUCAGAUGCAGUGUUUGUCCCAUCUUGAUGUGAAUGCAAGUGAUGAGAAUGAGGUUCUCUCGUUGAAUGCCCCCCUGCCAAACCUGCAAAGGCUACGUUUGGGUGGACGACUGGCGGAAGGGGCGUUGGACGCGUCUCCUCUCUUCCAAGCUGCUGGGGGGCAGAACUUGCAUGUUUUGAAUCUAUAUUGGUCACAACUGAGAGAAGACCCCCUGCCAUCCCUUUCACGGCUGUCGAAUUUGACGCAUCUGGAAUUCACCAGAGCAUACAGCGGAGAGCAGCUAUCAUUUCUCACGGGAUGGUUUCCCAAGCUAAAGAUUCUCUAUCUGAUAGACCUGCCUAAUCUGAAUUGGCUAGAGAUACAGCAAGGUGCCAUGGCGAGCCUGGAAAGAUUAUACUUUGUCAACCUCAGCAGCAUGAUGGUGGUCCCAGCUGGCAUUGAGUUCCUCAUGCCCCUCCAGUCUCUAGGCUUCUUUGAAAUCACUAGUGAUUUCUUUUGGUUGCUGGAUCAAUGUUCUGCAAUUCUAGGGACACAGUGGCGGUAUACUCUCCGAGAUUGA
RNAcentral lists this ribosomal RNA (2754 nucleotides) under Triticum aestivum (bread wheat). Its description in RNAcentral is "partial small subunit ribosomal RNA". Lineage: Eukaryota; Viridiplantae; Streptophyta; Magnoliopsida; Poales; Poaceae. The record is from RNAcentral.